AUUGAACGCUGGCGGCAGGCCUAACACAUGCAAGUCGAGCGGAUGAAGGGAGCUUGUUCCUGGAUUCAGCGGCGGACGGGUGAGUAAUGCCUAGGAAUCUGCCUGGUAGUGGGGGAUAACGUCCGGAAACGGGCGCUAAUACCGCAUACGUCCUGAGGUAGAAAGUGGGGGAUCUUCGGACCACACGCUAUCAGAUGAGCCUAGGUCGGAUUAGCUAGUUGGUGUGGUAACGGCCUACCAAGGCGACGAUCCGUAACUGGUCUGAGAGGAUGAUCAGUCACACUGGAACUGAGACACGGUCCAGACUCCUACGGGAGGCAGCAGUGGGGAAUAUUGGGCAAUGGGCGAAAGCCUGAUCCAGCCAUGCCGCGUGUGUGAAGAAGGUCUUCGGAUUGUAAAGCACUUUAAGUUGGGAGGAAGAGAAGUAAGUUAAUACCUUGCUGUUUUGACGUUACCAACAGAAUAAGCACCGGCUAACUUCGUG
Molecule: ribosomal RNA, 484 nt
Filed under: uncultured bacterium
Lineage: Bacteria
Description: partial 16S ribosomal RNA
Rfam family: Bacterial small subunit ribosomal RNA
Source: RNAcentral